RNAcentral lists this ribosomal RNA (253 nucleotides) under uncultured bacterium. RNAcentral's name for it is "partial 16S ribosomal RNA". It matches the Rfam family "Bacterial small subunit ribosomal RNA", at positions 524 to 776 of the family's 1533-position model. The record is from RNAcentral.
UACGAAGGGGGCUAGCGUUGCUCGGAAUCACUGGGCGUAAAGGGUGCGUAGGCGGGUCUUUAAGUCAGGGGGGAAAUCCUGGAGCUCAACUCCAGAACUGCCUUUGAUACUGAGGAUCUUGAGUUCGGGAGAGGUGAGUGGAACUGCGAGUGUAGAGGUUAAAUUCGUAGAUAUUCGCAAGAACACCAGUGGCGAAGGCGGCUCACUGGCCCGAUACUGACGCUGAGGCACGAAAGCGUGGGGAGCAAACAGG